AACGAACGCUGGCGGCAGGCUUAACACAUGCAAGUCGAGCGCAUCCUUCGGGGUGAGCGGCCGACGGGUGAGUAACGCGUGGGAAUCUACCUUUUGCUACGGAAUAGCUCCGGGAAACUGGAAUUAAUACCGUAUGUGCCCUUAGGGGGAAAGAUUUAUCGGCAAGAGAUGAGCCCGCGUUGGAUUAGCUAGUUGGUGGGGUAAAGGCCUACCAAGGCGACGAUCCAUAGCUGGUCUGAGAGGAUGAUCAGCCACAUUGGGACUGAGACACGGUCCAAACUCCUACGGGAGGCAGCAGUGGGGAAUAUUGGACAAUGGGCGCAAGCCUGAUCCAGCCAUGCCGCGUGAGUGAUGAAGGCCUUAGGGUUGUAAAGCUCUUUCACCGGAGAAGAUAAUGACGGUAUCCGGAGAAGAAGCCCCGGCUAACUUCGUG
Molecule: ribosomal RNA, 433 nt
Filed under: uncultured bacterium
Lineage: Bacteria
Description: partial 16S ribosomal RNA
Rfam family: Bacterial small subunit ribosomal RNA
Source: RNAcentral